This 460-nucleotide ribosomal RNA is filed under the name uncultured bacterium. RNAcentral's name for it is "partial 16S ribosomal RNA". It matches the Rfam family "Bacterial small subunit ribosomal RNA", at positions 338 to 795 of the family's 1533-position model. The record is from RNAcentral.
CCUACGGGGGGCAGCAGUGAGGAAUAUUGGUCAAUGGACGAGAGUCUGAACCAGCCAAGUAGCGUGAAGGAUAACUGCCCUAUGGGUUGUAAACUUCUUUUAUAUGGGAAUAAAAUGUUCCACGUGUGGGAUUUUGUAUGUACCAUAUGAAUAAGGAUCGGCUAACUCCGUGCCAGCAGCCGCGGUAAUACGGAGGAUCCGAGCGUUAUCCGGAUUUAUUGGGUUUAAAGGGAGCGUAGGUGGAUUGUUAAGUCAGUUGUGAAAGUUUGCGGCUCAACCGUAAAAUUGCAGUUGAAACUGGCAGUCUUGAGGACAGUAGAGGUGGGCGGAAUUCGUGGUGUAGCGGUGAAAUGCUUAGAUAUCACGAAGAACUCCGAUUGCGAAGGCAGUUCACUGGACUGCAACUGACACUGAGGCUCGAAAGUGUGGGUAUCAAACAGGAUUAGAUACCCGAGUAGUC